CAGCCGUAAACUAUGCGCGUUAGGUGUACUGGUGACCACGAGUCACCGGGGUGCCGAAGGGAAACCGUGAAACGUGCCGCCUGGGAAGUACGGUCGCAAGGCUGAAACUUAAAGGAAUUGGCGGGGGAGCACCGCAACGGGAGGAGCGUGCGGUUUAAUUGGAUUCAACACCGUAAAACUCACCAGGGAAGACAUAUGAUAGUCGGGCUGAAGACUCUACUUGAUGAUCUGAGAGGUGGUGCAUGGCGUCAGUGACU
This 257-nucleotide ribosomal RNA is filed under the name uncultured archaeon. RNAcentral's name for it is "partial 16S ribosomal RNA". It matches the Rfam family "Archaeal small subunit ribosomal RNA", at positions 748 to 1008 of the family's 1478-position model. The record is from RNAcentral.